GUUUGUUUAGUUUUAUUUUAAAAUAUAGUUUUUGUAAUACUAAGAAAAAUUUUUUUAUUUAGCAGGCU
Molecule: transfer RNA, 68 nt
Filed under: Cichlidarus nyanzae
Lineage: Eukaryota; Metazoa; Platyhelminthes; Monogenea; Gyrodactylidea; Gyrodactylidae
Description: tRNA-Thr
Source: RNAcentral